GACGACGACUCCUACGGGAGGCAGCAGUGGGGAAUAUUGCACAAUGGGGGAAACCCUGAUGCAGCCAUGCCGCGUGUGUGAAGAAGGCCUUCGGGUUGUAAAGCACUUUCAGUAGGGAGGAAGGUAGUCGUAGUUAACACCUGCAUUAUUUGACGUUACCUACAGAAGAAGCACCGGCUAACUCCCGUGCCAGCAGCCGCGGUAAUACGGAGGGUGCGAGCGUUAAUCGGAAUUACUGGGCGUAAAGCGCAUGCAGGCGGCCUGUUAAGUCAGAUGUGAAAGCCCGGGGCUUAACCUCGGAAUUGCAUUUGAAACUGGCAGGCUAGAGUCUUGUAGAGGGGGUAGAAUUUCAGGUGUAGCGGUGAAAUGCGUAGAGAUCUGAAGGAAUACCAGUGGCGAAGGCGGCCCCCUGGACAAAGACUGACGCUCAGAUGCGAAAGCGUGGGGAGCAAACAGGAUUAGAUACCCUGGUAG
RNAcentral lists this ribosomal RNA (474 nucleotides) under uncultured bacterium. RNAcentral's name for it is "bacterial SSU rRNA". It matches the Rfam family "Bacterial small subunit ribosomal RNA", at positions 328 to 793 of the family's 1533-position model. The record is from RNAcentral.